GGACAGUUUCUGCUUGAAUUUGUUUGCAAGAUGUCAGAAUAGCCUCCCAGAGCUGCUGUUUGGAUGUAAACUGCCUCCCACCCUCAUAGAUCUUUUGCUUUAGGAUGCUCCAAAGGUUCUCAAUAGGAUUGAGGUCAGGGGAGGAUGGAGGCCACACCAUGACUUUCUCUUCCUUAAUCCCCAUAGCAGCCAUUGAUGCAGAGGUAUUCUUUGCAGCAUGAGAUGGUGCAUUGUCAUGCAUGAAGGUGAUUUUAUUACGGAAAGCAUAGUUCUUCCUUC
Pelobates cultripes (western spadefoot toad) is the source of this 279-nucleotide non-coding RNA. Lineage: Eukaryota; Metazoa; Chordata; Amphibia; Anura; Pelobatidae. The record is from the annotation of a GenBank genome assembly.